RNAcentral lists this ribosomal RNA (468 nucleotides) under uncultured bacterium. RNAcentral's name for it is "partial 16S ribosomal RNA". It matches the Rfam family "Bacterial small subunit ribosomal RNA", at positions 28 to 507 of the family's 1533-position model. The record is from RNAcentral.
GACGAACGCUGGCGGCGUGCUUAACACAUGCAAGUCGAACGGAAAGGCCCUGCUUUUGUGGGGUGCUCGAGUGGCGAACGGGUGAGUAACACGUGAGUAACCUGCCCUUGACUUUGGGAUAACUUCAGGAAACUGGGGCUAAUACCGGAUAGGAGCUCCUGCUGCAUGGUGGGGGUUGGAAAGUUUCGGCGGUUGGGGUUGGACUCGCGGCUUAUCAGCUUGAUGGUGGGGUAGUGGCUUACCAAGGCUUUGACGGGUAGCCGGCCUGAGAGGGUGACCGGCCACAUUGGGACUGAGAUACGGCCCAGACUACUACGGGAGGCAGCAGUGGGGAAUAUUGCACAAUGGGCGGAAGCCUGAUGCAGCAACGCCGCGUGCGGGAUGACGGCCUUCGGGUUGUAAACCGCUUUCGCCUGUGACGAAGCGUGAGUGACGGUAAUGGGUAAAGAAGCACCGGCUAACUACGUG